CCUACGGGAGGCUGCAGUGAGGAAUAUUGGUCAAUGGACGGAAGUCUGAACCAGCCAUGCCGCGUGCAGGAAGACGGCUCUAUGAGUUGUAAACUGCUUUUGUACGAGGGUAAACCUGAAUACGUGUAUUCGGCUGAAAGUACUGUACGAAUAAGGAUCGGCUAACUCCGUGCCAGCAGCCGCGGUAAUACGGAGGAUCCAAGCGUUAUCCGGAUUUAUUGGGUUUAAAGGGUGCGUAGGCGGACGGAUAAGUUAGAGGUGAAAUGUCGGAGCUCAACUCGGGAACUGCCUCUAAUACUGUUGAUCUAGAGAGUAGAUGCGGUAGGCGGAAUGUAUGGUGUAGCGGUGAAAUGCUUAGAGAUCAUACAGAACACCGAUUGCGAAGGCAGCUUACCAAUCUAUAUCUGACGUUGAGGCACGAAAGCGUGGGGAGCAAACAGGAUUAGAUACCCUGGUAGUC
This 460-nucleotide ribosomal RNA is filed under the name uncultured bacterium. RNAcentral's name for it is "partial 16S ribosomal RNA". It matches the Rfam family "Bacterial small subunit ribosomal RNA", at positions 338 to 795 of the family's 1533-position model. The record is from RNAcentral.